GACGAACGCUGGCGGCGCGCCUAACACAUGCAAGUCGAACGGAGUUACUCUGAAUGAAGUUUUCGGAUGGAUUUUGGAUUAACUUAGUGGCGAACGGGUGAGUAACGCGUGAGUAACCUGCCCCUGGAGUGGGGGACAACGAGUUGGAAACGACUGACUAAUACCGCAUAAAGCCCCACAGUGCCCGCAUGGCACAGCGGGAAAAGGAUUUAUUCGCUUCAGGAUGGACUCGCGUCCAAUUAGCUAGUGUGAGUAACGCCACCAAGGCGACGAUUGUAGCGGACUGAGAGUUGAACGGCCACAUUGGGACUGAGACACGG
RNAcentral lists this ribosomal RNA (320 nucleotides) under uncultured bacterium. Its description in RNAcentral is "bacterial SSU rRNA". It matches the Rfam family "Bacterial small subunit ribosomal RNA", at positions 28 to 329 of the family's 1533-position model. The record is from RNAcentral.